GAAACCUGAAUGAACUUUUGG
RNAcentral lists this microRNA (21 nucleotides) under Bos taurus (domestic cattle). Its description in RNAcentral is "bta-miR-2285ci". Lineage: Eukaryota; Metazoa; Chordata; Mammalia; Artiodactyla; Bovidae. The record is from miRBase by way of RNAcentral.